Molecule: long non-coding RNA, 199 nt
Organism: Etheostoma spectabile (orangethroat darter)
Lineage: Eukaryota; Metazoa; Chordata; Actinopteri; Perciformes; Percidae
Exons: 3
Source: RefSeq, a predicted model, not a curated record
CGUUUCAAAUGGUCCCUGCGAAACAUGAUGACAAUCCCACGGUUUAAACUGGACCCUGCAGACAGGCCUAAGACCGUGGACCUGAUGCUGUCAUGUGACAGGCAGGAGGCCGUCAACAGGACGGAAUCAUUGGGGAAGAUCCCGAGGAACGACCUGGUGGAGCGUUUGCCUGCUACACAAGGUAGAAACACACAGCACU